Molecule: long non-coding RNA, 2470 nt
Filed under: Podarcis lilfordi (Lilford's wall lizard)
Lineage: Eukaryota; Metazoa; Chordata; Lepidosauria; Squamata; Lacertidae
Source: RNAcentral
AUUUUAAAAAUCAAUGAAAUUUGGAAACAGGGAGGAAAAAAACAAACAGUGCAACUAGCUGGGAAAACAAAGCCCAGCAAUUGUUCACUUAUAUAAAGGAAAAAAUGGUUGCUGGCAGCUAUUAUAUCAUUGGCAAACAUUGCUUGCUUGUUACAGUGCAGCUGGGUUAUACAAAACACCCUUAUUACAGAUGACAAUCCAGGGUUGGGGCAUUGGCAAUUUAAAAAAAAAUCCUUAUGAAAGUUGUGGCAUAUUGUUUUAUUUUGUAAAAUUAAAUGGGUGAUUUUCAAACCUGUUUGGUUUAUUUUUAUUAACCUAUUUCUUCUUUAUCUUUGCUUAUGUAUUACGAUUUUUAAAUAUAUAUAUAUAUAUAUUGCCUCAUUUUUUCUUUUUCUUUUUUAAAGGCUGCAAAAUACACAUAGUCUCUGCAAGAAAUGGAAUCUGGGUCUCUGCUGCAUCCAUGCACAAGCUACGUGAGACACUUUGAGUUCUCUGAAGGAAGAAAGGUGGGAAUUUGGACAAUUGUCUGUUCUGGAGGGAGUCUUGAAAAAGUAAGGGUUACCUCAAACAAAAGCUCUGAAGCAUAAGGGUUGGGAAUUGAUGGGAGUUCCUUGCAAUUGGGAUAAUGUGAUUUCCUUCCAGAUAUCUCAUCUGUGGCUCUAAGAUUUGCUCUUCCUGCUCCAAGGUAAGGACCUCUGGACAGUUAAGUCCAGUCGAAGGUGACUAUGGGGUUGCACUGCUCAUCUUGCUUUUCAGGCGGAGGGAGCUGGCGUUUAUCCGCAGACAGCUUUCCGGGUCAUGUGGCCAGCAUGACUAAACCGUUUCUGGAGCAAUGGGACACUGUGACGGAAAGCAGAGCGCAAGGAAACGCCAUUUACUUUCCCAUCACAGCGGCACCUAUUUAUCUACUUGCGGCUGUGUUCUUUUGAACUGCUAGGUUGGCAGGAGCUGGGACAGAGCAAUGGGAGCUCACCUUGUCAUGGGGAUUCAAACUGCUGAUCUUCUGAUCAGCAAGCCCGCUGAUAGGUCCACCCACCAUUGUGAGGCUCAAAGCAAUGAAGAUGAUGCCUCCUCAGCUGUUGCCAUUGGCUGUGGGUUUCUUGUGAUGUCACAAAAGCACUUGGCAACUGAGUGGAUAUAAAGGCAGGCCAAUGGGAAAGCCCUUUUUUAUUUCCAGCAGGACACACCUGGCAAUGGAUGUGACAUUCAGCACUGCCCAGGUUUCUGCCACUUGGAGGAGGCAAACUCGUGAAUGGAAGGAGGCAAUCCUCUGGCAGUGGGAUGCUAGGGAGCGAUAAUAAGGCAAGUUUGCUUGCUUGAAGGCUGCUGGUAUCCGUGGUUGGAAGCUGGCGGACGUCUCAUGAUGGAACUAAAAGUACCAGUAGCUUCUGGCACAAUGGGACACUGUGACGGAAUCCAGAGCACACGGAAACGCCAUUUACCUUCAUGCCGCAGCGGUACCUAUUUACCUAUUUGCACUGGUGUGCUUUCGAACUGCUGGGUUGGUAGGAGCUAGGACAGAGCUCCCUCUGUUGCGGGGAUUCAAACCACCAACCUUCUGAUUGGCAAGCCCAAGAGGCUCAGUGGUUUAGACCACAGCACCACCCAUGUCCCUUUUACCUUUACCUUUACCUUUACCUUCCAAGGCACUUACUGCCUGCCCAUUCAUAAGCAUUCUUGGCCAUCCACAACCCUGAACAUUGCGGUUGCUUACCAUGCCAGGUAAAGAUUCAGCUAUGGGAAGAACUACGGGAAGGCAAGCUAGAAGACAGGAGCCCUCCAUUCAAACAUUGUUUUCAAGCUAGGCGUGUAAUAAUCCUGCCCUAUGAGACAAUCCUCACAGGAAUUCGGUUUCAUGGUUCAAUGUAGUAAGAAAUUCUGCAUCGCUCCUAUCUCCACAUUGACAAUGGUUUCAUCAAUUGCAUUUCUAGCAUAUGGAAAGGCAAGGCAGCACUGGAUAACUACCGGUAAAUAGAGAAGGGGGUAGGGGAGAAAUGAACCUGGAAAAUAUGUGAAUUUUCCCAACACAUUUUUAUGAAGAAUCUUCAGCAGGAAGUACCUUUGUAUGUUGUAAUGUUGUGUCUUCAUCUAGUUAAGCAGCUAGAGCAGUUUGUUCAGGAUGCGUUCUCCAGGGAACAUUCAUUUACUUACGAGAAUCAUAACAGUAUGAAAACAGAAUUACUCAUAAGGACACAAUACAAGCCCUGCUGGAUCAGGCCAGUCACCUAUCUAGUCCAGCAUGGAACUGCAUUUGCCAUUUUACUGCCCGUUCACAUUCACUCAGUUUGGAGAGAUCCUUUUGGAAAACUACACAUUCCAUUUUCAUUUUACCCAUCCUAAACAAUUGGGUAUUGUCAGCCAACUUGGCUACCACCUUGCUUACCCCUAUGUCUAUAUCAUGUAUGAACAUCAUCAUCAUCAUCAUCAUCAUCAUCAUUAUAUUUAUUUAUACCCCGCCCAUCUGGGUGGC